UUUUUCGGAGAGUUUGAUCCUGGCUCAGGACGAACGCUGGCGGCGUGCCUAAUACAUGCAAGUCGAGCGGACAGAAGGGAGCUUGCUCCCGGAUGUUAGCGGCGGACGGGUGAGUAACACGUGGGUAACCUGCCUGUAAGACUGGGAUAACUCCGGGAAACCGGAGCUAAUACCGGAUAGUUCCUUGAACCGCAUGGUUCAAGGAUGAAAGACGGUUUCGGCUGUCACUUACAGAUGGACCCGCGGCGCAUUAGCUAGUUGGUGGGGUAAUGGCUCACCAAGGCGACGAUGCGUAGCCGACCUGAGAGGGUGAUCGGCCACACUGGGACUGAGACACGGCCCAGACUCCUACGGGAGGCAGCAGUAGGGAAUCUUCCGCAAUGGACGAAAGUCUGACGGAGCAACGCCGCGUGAGUGAUGAAGGUUUUCGGAUCGUAAAGCUCUGUUGUUAGGGAAGAACAAGUGCGAGAGUAACUGCUCGCACCUUGACGGUACCUAACCAGAAAGCCACGGCUAACUACGUGCCAGCAGCCGCGGUAAUACGUAGGUGGCAAGCGUUGUCCGGAAUUAUUGGGCGUAAAGGGCUCGCAGGCGGUUUCUUAAGUCUGAUGUGAAAGCCCCCGGCUCAACCGGGGAGGGUCAUUGGAAACUGGGAAACUUGAGUGCAGAAGAGGAGAGUGGAAUUCCACGUGUAGCGGUGAAAUGCGUAGAGAUGUGGAGGAACACCAGUGGCGAAGGCGACUCUCUGGUCUGUAACUGACGCUGAGGAGCGAAAGCGUGGGGAGCGAACAGGAUUAGAUACCCUGGUAGUCCACGCCGUAAACGAUGAGUGCUAAGUGUUAGGGGGUUUCCGCCCCUUAGUGCUGCAGCUAACGCAUUAAGCACUCCGCCUGGGGAGUACGGUCGCAAGACUGAAACUCAAAGGAAUUGACGGGGGCCCGCACAAGCGGUGGAGCAUGUGGUUUAAUUCGAAGCAACGCGAAGAACCUUACCAGGUCUUGACAUCCUCUGACAACCCUAGAGAUAGGGCUUUCCCUUCGGGGACAGAGUGACAGGUGGUGCAUGGUUGUCGUCAGCUCGUGUCGUGAGAUGUUGGGUUAAGUCCCGCAACGAGCGCAACCCUUGAUCUUAGUUGCCAGCAUUCAGUUGGGCACUCUAAGGUGACUGCCGGUGACAAACCGGAGGAAGGUGGGGAUGACGUCAAAUCAUCAUGCCCCUUAUGACCUGGGCUACACACGUGCUACAAUGGACAGAACAAAGGGCUGCAAGACCGCAAGGUUUAGCCAAUCCCAUAAAUCUGUUCUCAGUUCGGAUCGCAGUCUGCAACUCGACUGCGUGAAGCUGGAAUCGCUAGUAAUCGCGGAUCAGCAUGCCGCGGUGAAUACGUUCCCGGGCCUUGUACACACCGCCCGUCACACCACGAGAGUUUGCAACACCCGAAGUCGGUGAGGUAACCUUUAUGGAGCCAGCCGCCGAAGGUGGGGCAGAUGAUUGGGGUGAAGUCGUAACAAGGUAGCCGUAUCGGAAGGGGGGGCUGG
Molecule: ribosomal RNA, 1538 nt
Filed under: Bacillus pumilus
Lineage: Bacteria; Bacillati; Bacillota; Bacilli; Caryophanales; Bacillaceae
Description: bacterial SSU rRNA
Rfam family: Bacterial small subunit ribosomal RNA
Source: RNAcentral